Molecule: long non-coding RNA, 980 nt
Filed under: Marmota monax (woodchuck)
Lineage: Eukaryota; Metazoa; Chordata; Mammalia; Rodentia; Sciuridae
Source: RNAcentral
AAUGAAUCUCCUAGUAACUGAAAGCAAAUGAAAAGGAAUACAGAAAGAAAAAGAAAUGGAGACAGACUUCAACGGAUCAGCGAUGCCUUAUUAAAAGCAGCAGAGGGACACAUUUUCAAGAGGGAAAAUGGUGACAGGCAAUAAUAAGGGUCUGAGUUUCACAGGGUUUAGAGGGGCUGAGUCCUGGCAGGAAGUGUGUUGGUUACAGCUGGAGGGAGACCUUGGGCAGGCAGGAGGACGGCUGUAGAUAGGGAAAGUCAACAAGUUCAGAGCCCAAUACUCUCCCUCUCUCCUUGGGGGUUGUUAUUUUCCUUCAUUAACCGUGAAUUUAUGAGGUAGGGCUGUAUUAAGCUGUAAGUAGUAAAAAACCCAAGUAAUUAUAACUUAAAUAGACAAGGACAUAUAUCUCACGAACCAAGAAGUCUAGUGACAAUGUGGGUGUGUGUUUGGUGGCUGGCAGGUCUUGACCCUCCCUUUACAGUUGCCAACUACUUGGUGGCAGUGCGCCUUCACCAUAGCCAAAGGCAGGAAGCGUGCAGCAGAGGGAGGGUGCGGUGGGGGCUGAGGAGUGGGAUGUUUCUCAGGGUGUCCCUUCUUCUUGUCUUUCCCCAAAGCCUCAGGCAGACUUUCCUCCAUGGGGCAAAGGUUAGAACUGGGGCACCUGACCGCCUCUAGGUGCCCCAAAGGCUGAGAAGUGAAUAGGGCUUCCACCAUCUUACUCCACGGGUCGUCUCAGGCCUAGAAGGAGGGGAAGGUCAGGUCACACUCCUUGGUGCGCAGACUCAGCUCUGGGAGAGAACCACAGUCAUGUCUUCUUCCUAGAUCUACAGAGUGACCACUGGGCCCAGCAGUGAAUUAGACUAUAGAGGACAUGAGAAAAAUGUCCCUGAUUUCAAGGAGUCACUAGAGAAUUGGGCUCUGCAGAAGCAAGUGGCCAAGCUGUCCCACCCCCACCCGCCACCCUGCCCUCAGUUUCCCUC